UACGGAGGGUGCGAGCGUUAAUCGGAAUUACUGGGCGUAAAGCGUACGUAGGCGGUUAGAUUAGUCGGAUGUGAAAGCCCCGGGCUUAACCUGGGAAUUGCAUUCGAUACUGUCUGGCUUGAAUGUGGAAGAGGGAAGUGGAAUUCCAGGUGUAGCGGUGAAAUGCGUAGAUAUCUGGAGGAACAUCAGUGGCGAAGGCGACUUCCUGGUCCAACAUUGACGCUGAGGUACGAAAGCGUGGGGAGCAAACAGG
RNAcentral lists this ribosomal RNA (253 nucleotides) under uncultured Chromatiales bacterium. Its description in RNAcentral is "partial 16S ribosomal RNA". It matches the Rfam family "Bacterial small subunit ribosomal RNA", at positions 524 to 776 of the family's 1533-position model. The record is from RNAcentral. Lineage: Bacteria; Pseudomonadati; Pseudomonadota; Gammaproteobacteria; Chromatiales.